UUGUCCGGAAUUACUGGGUGUAAAGGGAGCGUAGGCGGGACGGUAAGUCAGGUGUGAAAUAUACGUGCUCAACAUGUAGACUGCACUUGAAACUGCUGUUCUUGAGUGAAGUAGAGGUAAGCGGAAUUCCUAGUGUAGCGGUGAAAUGCGUAGAUAUUAGGAGGAACAUCGGUGGCGAAGGCGGCUUACUGGGCUUUUACUGACGCUGAGGCUCGAAAGCGUGGGGAGCAAACAGGAUUAGAUACCCUGGUAGUCCACGCUGUAAACGAUGAUUACUAGGUGUGGGGGGACUGACCCCUUCCGUGCCGCAGUUAACCAUAAGUAAUCCACCUGGGGAAUACCACCGCCAGGUUGAAACCC
Molecule: ribosomal RNA, 360 nt
Filed under: uncultured bacterium
Lineage: Bacteria
Description: bacterial SSU rRNA
Rfam family: Bacterial small subunit ribosomal RNA
Source: RNAcentral